UCAAUCUAGAAUUCUGUCCCCAGGCAACCAAGUAUGAAGAUAGACAAGAUAUUUCACACAUGGAAGCUUACAAAAAUUUACCUUCCAGGUACCCUUUUUCAGGAAAGCUACUAGAGUAAGAGUUUAACCCAAAUGAGAGAGGGAAUAAUUAAGCAGCGGCCACGGGAUAAAGGAAACAUGAGAUCCAACUCAAGAGAAGCAAAGAAAAUUCUUAGUAAUGGAAGAAGAUCCCAGAUGAUAUUUGUGCACUAGGACAGUAAUACCCCUGAAAACUAUGCACCGGUCUUGGCUUUGUGGUAUGAAACAGAUUCGAAGUGUCUAUUUUUGUGCCGCAGCUCAGAGACAUUAAACACUGGUAAAACACUAAAAUGCUGGUAAGACAAAAAGGAAAACAAAGAAGACAUGAGAACAAAAAGGAAAAAAGUUAUAAGAAGAGAAAGGAUAAUGAAAAAAAGAAGCUAUCUAUCGGGCACUGAAUUACAAUGCAGUGAAAUUUUUGCUUUAUUAUACUGAAGGACAACAAACUCACCGCUUCCCAAAUUUUAUUUUACUUCUUUCUCUUAAUGUUAAGUACUGCCACCUGACAAAUGAAUCAUAGUAAGGAUUAACAUCAGUGGUGAUGAAGGAGCGACGCCAGUCGACCUACAGAAAAGAAAAUACAUGAUUUUUGAGAAAUGUGUAUAGUUUCUAUGAAUAAAAACUCCCACCAAUUA
Long non-coding RNA from Felis catus (domestic cat), 713 nucleotides. RefSeq lists it as uncharacterized. Lineage: Eukaryota; Metazoa; Chordata; Mammalia; Carnivora; Felidae. The transcript has 3 exons. The record is from RefSeq and is a predicted model, not a curated record.